RNAcentral lists this ribosomal RNA (372 nucleotides) under uncultured bacterium. RNAcentral's name for it is "bacterial SSU rRNA". It matches the Rfam family "Bacterial small subunit ribosomal RNA", at positions 524 to 898 of the family's 1533-position model. The record is from RNAcentral.
UACGGAGGAUGCAAGCGUUAUCCGGAUUUAUUGGGUUUAAAGGGUGCGCAGGCGGAAAAAUAAGUCAGUGGUGAAAUCCUGCAGCUUAACUGUAGAAUUGCCGUUGAUACUGUUAUUCUUGAGUGUGGUCAAGGUAGGCGGAAUGUGUAAUGUAGCGGUGAAAUGCUUAGAUAUUACACAGAACACCGAUUGCGAAGGCAGCUUACUGGGCCAUUACUGACGCUCAUGCACGAAAGCGUGGGGAUCGAACAGGAUUAGAUACCCUGGUAGUCCACGCCGUAAACGAUGAUCACUCGCUGUUGGCGAUACACAGUCAGCGGCUAAGCAAAAGCAUUAAGUGAUCCACCUGGGGAGUACGACCGCAAGGUUGAA